UUGAACGCUGGCGGCAGGCUUAACACAUGCAAGUCGAACGGUAACGGGAAGGGAGCUUGCUUUCUUUGCCGACGAGUGGCGGACGGGUGAGUAAUGCUUGGGAAUCUGGCUUAUGGAGGGGGAUAACUACGGGAAACUGUAGCUAAUACCGCGUAAUAUCUAUGGAUUAAAGGGUGGGACUUUCGGGCCACCUGCCAUAAGAUGAGCCCAAGUGGGAUUAGGUAGUUGGUUAGGUAAAGGCUGACCAAGCCGACGAUCUCUAGCUGGUCUGAGAGGAUGACCAGCCACACUGGAACUGAGACACGGUCCAGACUCCUACGGGAGGCAGCAGUGGGGAAUAUUGCACAAUGGGGGGAACCCUGAUGCAGCCAUGCCGCGUGAAUGAAGAAGGCCUUCGGGUUGUAAAGUUCUUUCGGUAGCGAGGAAGGUAUCAAAUUUAAUAGAUUUGGUAAUUGACGUUAACUACAGAAGAAGCACCGGCUAACUCCGUGCCAGCAGCCGCGGUAAUACGGAGGGUGCGAGCGUUAAUCGGAAUAACUGGGCGUAAAGGGCACGCAGGCGGUUGAUUAAGUGAGAUGUGAAAGCCCCGGGCUUAACCUGGGAAUUGCAUUUCAUACUGGUCAACUAGAGUACUUUAGGGAGGGGUAGAAUUCCACGUGUAGCGGUGAAAUGCGUAGAGAUGUGGAGGAAUACCGAAGGCGAAGGCAGCCCUUUGGGAAUGUACUGACGCUCAUGUGCGAAAGCGUGGGGAGCAAACAGGAUUAGAUACCCUGGUAGUCCACGCUGUAAACGCUGUCGAUUUGGGGAUUGGACUGUGAGUCUGGUGCCCGAAGCUAACGUGAUAAAUCGACCGCCUGGGGAGUACGGCCGCAAGGUU
This 877-nucleotide ribosomal RNA is filed under the name Actinobacillus pleuropneumoniae serovar 8. RNAcentral describes it as "bacterial SSU rRNA". It matches the Rfam family "Bacterial small subunit ribosomal RNA", at positions 29 to 895 of the family's 1533-position model. The record is from RNAcentral. Lineage: Bacteria; Pseudomonadati; Pseudomonadota; Gammaproteobacteria; Pasteurellales; Pasteurellaceae.